This 1146-nucleotide ribosomal RNA is filed under the name Microphallus sp. nov. 1 IBC-2010. Its description in RNAcentral is "eukaryotic LSU rRNA". It matches the Rfam family "Eukaryotic large subunit ribosomal RNA", at positions 63 to 796 of the family's 3401-position model. The record is from RNAcentral. Lineage: Eukaryota; Metazoa; Platyhelminthes; Trematoda; Plagiorchiida; Microphallidae.
AACUAACAAGGAUUCCCCUAGUAACGGCGAGUGAACAGGGAAAAGCCCAGCACCGAAGCCUGUGGCCAUUUGGUCAUAAGGCAAUGUGGUGUUCAGGUUGUUCCGCAGAGGUGCUGCUCCACCCUAAGUCCAUCAAUGAGUACGGUAUUGUGGACCCGGCCCAAAGAGGGUGAAAGGCCCGUGGGGGUGGAGACCAGGUAGGCCAGCACCUUUCUGGAUAGACCUUGGAGUCGGGUUGUUUGUGAAUGCAGCCCAAAGUGGGUGGUAAACUCCAUCCAAGGCUAAAUACUAGCACGAGUCCGAUAGCGAACAAGUACCGUGAGGGAAAGUUGAAAAGUACUUUGAAGAGAGAGUAAACAGUGCGUGAAACCGAUCAGAGGUAAGCGGGUGGAGUUGAACUGCAAGCUCUGAGAAUUCAGCUGGUGAGUGUGGUUUGAGCUUGGUCAAGUCGGUUGGACCUCGGAGUCUGUGUAGCAACAGGCCUUUGCCUUUCUGGGUAGAGGUGCGCGAUGCACUUAUCAAGUGUUGUGCGCUCCGGGUGUUCUUCGGGCCGACUCGCCAGUGCACUUUCUCAGAGUAGUCACCACGACCGGCACUGCUGUCUGGCUGGUGCGGUUAAACCGGUCUUGCAUUGUCCUUGUGGCUUUGCUUGGYCGGGAUGGCAGGUAGCUUGUUGGCUGGCUUGUGGUUCGCUGCAAUCGGUCUUCGAGUGUAAUCAGCUGACCGUAUCGGUUCUGUGCAGUGUGUCGGAGACGGCGGCUUUUGUGUGUGCGUGCGUGCCAGGUUGGCCGGCGUGUUCGAGUUCUGGUUGUUCCGUAGCCUGUGAAUGCAGGCCUGAUGAUGGCUCGGAUUCGUUCGGUCAACGGUUGCGUGCGUGACACUUUUCAUGGGCCAAUAGUCUGUGGUGUAGUGGUAGACUAUCCACCCGACCCGUCUUGAAACACGGACCAAGGAGAGUAACAUGUGCGCGAGUCAUUGGGCGAUACGAAACCCAUAGGCGCAGUGAAAGUGAAUGUUUGGCUUGUCCAGACUGAGGUGAGAUCCUGUCGUUUCUCAUGCGUGGUACCACCAAGCUUCGAGCGGCAGGCGCAUCACCGGCCCGUCCCAUGACGAUUGUUUUCGGACAUUACCCAUCGGGGCGGAGCA